UGGGGUAUGGCUUAGUUCGUAGAGUGCUUGCCUCACAUGCACAAGGCCCUGGGAUCAAGUCCCAGCACCCCUG
Molecule: non-coding RNA, 73 nt
Organism: Ictidomys tridecemlineatus (thirteen-lined ground squirrel)
Lineage: Eukaryota; Metazoa; Chordata; Mammalia; Rodentia; Sciuridae
Source: Rfam